CCGCUACUGGUUCUCCAGAACUGGUCAGAACCUGCUGAAUACCACCUCUGGUUGAAAGGCUAUAAAACUUGCCCAAGGUAUGUGCCAAGUAUGGCUCUUAGCUUUCUGUUCUAUAUGCUCACCACAGCUGAAUGGGAGGGGACUCUCUAAUGUUGUAUGCAUCUGGACUUAAUGAAUAAAUUUUUGCUAAUUUUAGUCAGCUGGUAUCUUCCAUUAUAUAGUCAUUAAUUGAUAUACGCCUGUGGUCACUUUAGCUACCAAUAGCCUAACCAUAUGCAGGUUCUCAGUUGUACUUUUUUUGGCUCCUGUGGGUCACAAGACACUUUCCUAAAUAGGUCUGAUUAGGUAAGCUCUGCUUGCAUUUUUAAUAGGUAAGCAUAAUGCAAUAUAUCAUGAAGGGUGCCCUGUGGUAGGGAAGAAAUAUUUUAAAAACUUUAAAGCUUAAAGUAAUGAAGCUGCACCUAUAAAGGACCAUGAAUCAUACAGACAUGAUAUAGCUUUAUUGAUCUUUUAGAUCCAUUGUUCUUCUUUUCAAACCAAAGAAAUGUUGGAAAUAAAUUAUACAAAAGGGAUCAGGACCCUGACUUUUUCCCCUCAGGUAAGUUGAGCUAACAUUCCCAAAACACAACAGAGCUGGGUCAAAUUUGGUCUGAAAACUACCAAAGGAAGAUUAAAAAUGGGCGAGAUCAAGUCAAGAGCAGGGGGGGGGGG
Pseudonaja textilis is the source of this 711-nucleotide non-coding RNA. The record is from RefSeq and is a predicted model, not a curated record. Lineage: Eukaryota; Metazoa; Chordata; Lepidosauria; Squamata; Elapidae.